Molecule: signal recognition particle RNA, 299 nt
Filed under: Aotus nancymaae (Ma's night monkey)
Lineage: Eukaryota; Metazoa; Chordata; Mammalia; Primates; Aotidae
Description: Metazoan signal recognition particle RNA (ENSANAG00000008605.1)
Rfam family: Metazoan signal recognition particle RNA
About the family: The signal recognition particle (SRP) is a universally conserved ribonucleoprotein. It is involved in the co-translational targeting of proteins to membranes.
Source: RNAcentral
GCCGGGUGUGGUUGUGUGUGCCUAUAGUCCCAGCUACUCUGGAGGCUGAGGCUGGAGGAUCUCUUGAGUCCAGGAGUUCUGGGUUGUAGUGCGCUAUGCCGAUCAGGUGUUCACACUAAGUUCGGCAUCAAUAUGGUGACCUACCAGGAGCGGGGGACCACCAGGUUGCCUGAGGAGGGGUGAACCGGCCCACGUUGGAAAUGGAGCAGGUCAAAACUCCCAUGCUGAUGAGUAGUGGGAUAGUGCCUGUGAAUAGCCACUGAACUCCAGCCUGGGCAACCUAUGGAGACCCUGUUUCU